Molecule: ribosomal RNA, 495 nt
Filed under: uncultured bacterium
Lineage: Bacteria
Description: partial 16S ribosomal RNA
Rfam family: Bacterial small subunit ribosomal RNA
Source: RNAcentral
GAUGAACGCUGGCGGCGUGCUUAACACAUGCAAGUCGAACGAAGCACCUUGAUUUGAUUCUUCGGAUGAAGAUCUUGGUGACUGAGUGGCGGACGGGUGAGUAACGCGUGGGUAACCUGCCUCAUACAGGGGGAUAACAGUUAGAAAUGACUGCUAAUACCGCAUAAGACCACAGCACCGCAUGGUGCAGGGGUAAAAACUCCGGUGGUAUGAGAUGGACCCGCGUCUGAUUAGGUAGUGGGUGGGGUAACGGCCUACCAAGCCGACGAUCAGUAGCCGACCUGAGAGGGUGACCGGCCAUAUUGGGACAGAGACACGGCCCAAACUCCUACGGGAGGCAGCAGUGGGGAAUAUUGCACAAUGGGGGAAACCCUGAUGCAGCGACGCCGCGUGAGCGAUGAAGUAUUUCGGUAUGUAAAGCUCUAUCAGCAGGGAAGAAAAUGACGGUACCUGACUGAGAAGCACCGGCUAAAUACGUGCCAGCCGCCGCCGUAA